UGUAAGGUUUCGUGAUGUUGAGGGUUU
This 27-nucleotide small RNA is filed under the name Bombyx mori (domestic silkworm). Its description in RNAcentral is "ovarian small RNA-35336". Lineage: Eukaryota; Metazoa; Arthropoda; Insecta; Lepidoptera; Bombycidae. The record is from RNAcentral.